Molecule: non-coding RNA, 311 nt
Organism: Elaeis guineensis (African oil palm)
Lineage: Eukaryota; Viridiplantae; Streptophyta; Magnoliopsida; Arecales; Arecaceae
Source: RefSeq, a predicted model, not a curated record
GUUCAGCAUUUCAUGUACCAAAUUAUCUAAUUGCGAAAAUGUUAAUGCUCAAAGGAAAAUGUUUUAUCAAGAAAGAGGGAAAAUGAUGCGCAUCCGACUAACAUUACAUGAUGGGAUGUCCGAUAUGACGAUCAAAUUAACCUUAUGAGCAGAAGCACUUAACACGAUUUGGCCGGUUGGCACCUCAAACAUAAUUUGGCGAGUUCUGAAGAUUUUGGUAAGCGGCCGAUGGGCACAAACUUCUACCCACUUACCUCUAUUGAAGGUGAUGUGAGACCAAACAAAUGAAAGAAUUUCGUUAUCAGCUUAUU